This 199-nucleotide ribosomal RNA is filed under the name uncultured bacterium. RNAcentral describes it as "partial 16S ribosomal RNA". It matches the Rfam family "Bacterial small subunit ribosomal RNA", at positions 328 to 539 of the family's 1533-position model. The record is from RNAcentral.
ACGCUCGACACCUACGGGAGGCAGCAGGUGGGGAAUAUUGCACAAUGGGGGAAACCCUGAUGCAGCGACGCCGCGUGAGCGAAGAAGUAUUUCGGUAUGUAAAGCUCUAUCAGCAGGGAAGAAAGUGACGGUACCUGACUAAGAAGCACCGGCUAAAUACGUGUCAGCAGCCGCGGUAAUCUGAGCGGGCUGGCAAGGC